AUUGAACGCUGGCGGCAGGCCUAACACAUACAAGUCGAACGGUAGCACAGAGGAGCUUGCUCCUUGGGUGACGAGUGGCGGACGGGUGAGUAAUGUCUGGGAAACUGCCUGAUGGAGGGGGAUAACUACUGGAAACGGUAGCUAAUACCGCAUAACGUCGCAAGACCAAAGUGGGGGACCUUCGGGCCUCACACCAUCGGAUGUGCCCAGAUGGGAUUAGCUAGUAGGUGGGGUAAUGGCUCACCUAGGCGACGAUCCCUAGCUGGUCUGAGAGGAUGAACAGCCACACUGGAACUGAGACACGGUCCAGACUCCUACGGGAGGCAGCAGUGGGGAAUAUUGCACAAUGGGCGCAAGCCUGAUGCAGCCAUGCCGCGUGUAUGAAGAAGGCCUUCGGGUUGUAAAGUACUUUCAGCGAGGAGGAAGGCAUUGUGGUUAAUAACCACAGUGAUUGACGUUACUCGCAGAAGAAGCACCGGCUAACUCCGUGCCAGCCGCCGCAGUAA
This 506-nucleotide ribosomal RNA is filed under the name uncultured bacterium. RNAcentral describes it as "partial 16S ribosomal RNA". It matches the Rfam family "Bacterial small subunit ribosomal RNA", at positions 30 to 523 of the family's 1533-position model. The record is from RNAcentral.